RNAcentral lists this ribosomal RNA (253 nucleotides) under uncultured bacterium. Its description in RNAcentral is "partial 16S ribosomal RNA". It matches the Rfam family "Bacterial small subunit ribosomal RNA", at positions 524 to 776 of the family's 1533-position model. The record is from RNAcentral.
UACGGAGGGUGCAAGCGUUAUCCGGAUUCACUGGGUUUAAAGGGUGCGUAGGAGGGCAGGUAAGUCAGUGGUGAAAUCUCCAAGCUUAACUUGGAAACUGCCGUUGAUACUAUCUGUCUUGAAUAUUGUGGAGGUGAGCGGAAUAUGACAUGUAGCGGUGAAAUGCUUAGAUAUGUCAUAGAACACCGAUUGCGAAGGCAGCUCACUAAACUGUCACUGACGCUGAGGCACGAAAGCGUGGGGAGCAAACAGG